Lepidothrix coronata (blue-crowned manakin) is the source of this 1240-nucleotide long non-coding RNA. RefSeq lists it as uncharacterized. The transcript has 4 exons. NCBI's taxonomy places the organism in Eukaryota, Metazoa, Chordata, Aves, Passeriformes, Pipridae. The record is from RefSeq and is a predicted model, not a curated record.
GAACUUGCUGUCCACUACUUGGCUCCAGGACUCUGCCUCCAGCUGCUUGGAAUCUAAUUCCAGUUCUCCCAUGAGCUGUCCUUCAUUCAUGUCCGCUCCUUCACAAAGCAAUAAUCAUCACCAGGGGAUCUCAGCAGUUAAAACCAGCCACAGGAAGGAAAGAACAUGGAUCCCUGUGCAGAACUGACUGCACUGCACUACGCCUAAAAUUCCUAGAUGGAGAAAUAGGAAAAUGAAAAAGUGCUGAUAAUACUGAAGAGAACUGAAAAUCAUACUUGUAUAAACAUUAUUUAUCUUGGAGAACCAGGUUCCUUGCAUUUGAGGAAACUCGGAACUGCCAUUCGGGAUUCAGCUGGCUGCCCCUUCCCCUGCUCACAUCUACCAGGAGGAACAGAGGACUCCAGCCUGGGAGCAGUUCCCAUAAAUGCUUUGACUUAUCUCUAGGCUAGUGGAGUAAAAAAUUACUAAUAGUGAGGAAAGAAGAGCCCUGAGCUGCAGUGGGAAAAAGACAUUUUUGUCUUCAUAUUCUACAGCUUUGGGCAGCACUGUGGGCUCGACCACACAAACUCUGCUGACCUUAUCAAGCUACAGGCAUGAGAAACUGUGUGAUAAGAAAAGAGAACAAAAUCACUAAUCUGGCAGAAACCAUCAGAUGUAUUUCCUGUCCUGUCUGGACUGUAGUGCACGUACCUCACACACACACAGGUAGUUGCCAUUUGACCUGUGAUGCAAUUUCUUGUUAAAAGGGAGAAGAGGGUGAGUAUUUCCUUUUUGUACCAUGUGGUUCUGACUAAGGGCUCACCGAAGCAGUUCAGAGAACUAAAGCAAUACACUACAGAUGGGUGGGACUUUUUCUUCCCUUUGGAAGUAAAAGCCAUGAUCCAAGCCAGCUGUCCCUGUCCUUUGUCCAUCUUAUCAAAGCAGCUCAGGCCCAAGCCAUAACAUGCAGCCGAAAUAAACAAGUUCUCCAGCUGACUGACACAGCCCAACAAGGGGUAGAAAACCCCGUGGGAUGCUGUGAUGGCUGACCUCAAGCUUGGAAUGAGGUUGUAGGACACCUCCAUGCAGCCACGACUCAUUUCAGUCCAGUUUCCACAAGGCAACAUGCUGCUGCUCCAUGAAUCACUAUCUCCAAAGUCUCCCUCCCACCCUACAUCCUUAAGGAAAAUGAAAAGAAGGCGUAAGGUUUGCAUUUUCCAUGUGAGAUUCAAUGAAAAACAAAAGGAAGGGAGGGAACCUC